AUACGGAGGGUGCAAGCGUUGUCCGGAAUCAUUGGGUGUAAAGGGUGCGUAGGCGGAAGCCUAAGUCGGGGGUGAAAUCCUGCCGCUCAACGGCAGAAUGGCCUUCGAUACUGGGUUUCUUGAGUCCGGAAGAGGUUGGUGGAAUUCGUGGUGUAGCGGUGAAAUGCAUAGAUAUCACGAAGAACACCGGUGGCGAAGGCGGCCAACUGGUCCGGUACUGACGCUGAGGCACGAGAGCGUGGGGAGCGAACAGGAUUAGAUACCCUGGUAGUCCACGCCGUAAACGAUGUAUGCUAGAUGUUGGCCCUUCGGGGUCAGUGUCGCAGUUAACGCAGUAAGCAUACCACCUGGGGAGUACGUUCGCAAGAAUGAA
Molecule: ribosomal RNA, 373 nt
Filed under: uncultured bacterium
Lineage: Bacteria
Description: bacterial SSU rRNA
Rfam family: Bacterial small subunit ribosomal RNA
Source: RNAcentral